UGCAAGUCGAACGCGAAAGUCCCCUUCGGGGGACAAGUAGAGUGGCGCACGGGUGAGUAACACGUAGGUAAUCUACCUUUGGAUGGGGAAUAACAAUCGGAAACGGUUGCUAAUACCGCAUAAUGCAGCGGCACCUAAUGGUGACAGUUGUUAAAGCGGGGGAUCGAAAGACCUCGCGUCUGAAGAGGAGCCUGCGGCGGAUUAGCUAGUUGGUAAGGUAAUGGCUUACCAAGGCUACGAUCCGUAACCGGCCUGAGAGGGCGGUCGGUCACACUGACACUGACAUACGGGUCAGACUCCUACGGGAGGCAGCAGUCGGGAAUUUUGGGCAAUGGGCGAAAGCCUGACCCAGCAACGCCGCGUGAAGGAUGAAAUCCCUCGGGAUGUAAACUUCGCAAGAACGGGAAGAAUAAGCGAAAGUUAAUAUCUUUCGUGAUGACGGUACCGUUUGUAAGCUCCGGCUAACUCCGUGCCAGCAGCCGCGGUAAUACGGGGGGAGCAAGCGUUGUUCGGAUUUACUGGGCGUAAAGGGCGCGUAGGCGGUCAGCACAAGUCAGUUGUGAAAUCUCCGAGCUUAACUCGGAAAGGUCAACUGAUACUGUGCGACUAGAGUGCGGAAGGGGCAACUGGAAUUCUUGGUGUAGCGGUGAAAUGCGUAGAUAUCAAGAGGAACACCUGCGGCGAAGGCGGGUUGCUGGGCCGACACUGACGCUGAGGCGCGAAAGCCAGGGGAGCGAACGGGAUUAGAUACCCCGGUAGUCCUGGCCUUAAACGAUGAAUGCUUGGUGUCUGGGGUUAUAUAGUCCCCGGGUGCCGUCGCUAACGCUUUAAGCAUUCCGCCUGGGGAGUACGGUCGCAAGACUGAAACUCAAAGGAAUUGACGGGGACCCGCACAAGCGGUGGAGCAUGUGGUUUAUU
Molecule: ribosomal RNA, 918 nt
Filed under: uncultured Acidobacteriaceae bacterium
Lineage: Bacteria; Pseudomonadati; Acidobacteriota; Terriglobia; Terriglobales; Acidobacteriaceae
Description: bacterial SSU rRNA
Rfam family: Bacterial small subunit ribosomal RNA
Source: RNAcentral